AAUCUUCCACAAUGGACGAAAGGCUGAUGGAGCAACGCCGCUUGAGUGAAGAAGGCUUUCGGAUCGUAAAACUCUGUUGUAAGGGAAGAACACGUACGAGAGUAACUGCUCGUAUUCUGACGGUACCCAAUUUGAAAGCAACGGCUAACUACGUGUCAGCAGCCGUGGUAAUACGUAGGUGGUUAGCGUUGUCCGGAAUUAUUGGGCGCAAAGCGCGCGCAGGCGGUUCUUUAAGUCUGAUGUGAAAGCCCACGGCUCAACCGUGGAGGGUCAUUGGAAACUGGAGAACUUGAGUACAGAAGAGGAAAGCGGAAUUCCACGUGUAGCGGUGAAAUGCGUAGAAAUGUGGAGGAACACCAGUGGCGAAGGCGGCUUUCUGGUCUGUAACUGACGCUGAGGCGCGAAAGCGUGGGGAGCAAACA
Molecule: ribosomal RNA, 422 nt
Filed under: uncultured bacterium
Lineage: Bacteria
Description: partial 16S ribosomal RNA
Rfam family: Bacterial small subunit ribosomal RNA
Source: RNAcentral